AACGAACGCUGGCGGCAUGCCUAACACAUGCAAGUCGAACGAGACCUUCGGGUCAGUGGCGCACGGGUGCGUAACGCGUGGGAACCUGCCCUUAGGUUCUGAAUAACUCCCCGAAAGGGGUGCUAAUACCGGAUAAUGUCUUCGGACCAAAGAUUUAUCGCCUUUGGAUGGGCCCGCGUUGGAUUAGCUAGUUGGUAGGGUAAAAGCCUACCAAGGCGACGAUCCAUAGCUGGUCUGAGAGGAUGAUCAGCCACACUGGGACUGAGACACGGCCCAGACUCCUACGGGAGGGAGCAGUGGGGAAUAUUGGACAAUGGGCGAAAGCCUGAUCCAGCAAUGCCGCGUGAGUGAUGAAGGCCUUAGGGUUGUAAAGCUCUUUUACCCGGGAUGAUAAUGACAGUACCGGGAGAAUAAGCUCCGGCUAACUCCGUG
Molecule: ribosomal RNA, 432 nt
Filed under: uncultured bacterium
Lineage: Bacteria
Description: partial 16S ribosomal RNA
Rfam family: Bacterial small subunit ribosomal RNA
Source: RNAcentral